GGGGAUGUAGCUCUGGGGUACACUAUGUACUUAACAUCUACGAGGUCCUGGGUUCAAUCCCCAGCAUCACAU
This 72-nucleotide transfer RNA is filed under the name Marmota monax (woodchuck). RNAcentral describes it as "tRNA.Val". The record is from RNAcentral. Lineage: Eukaryota; Metazoa; Chordata; Mammalia; Rodentia; Sciuridae.